Molecule: ribosomal RNA, 678 nt
Filed under: uncultured beta proteobacterium
Lineage: Bacteria; Pseudomonadati; Pseudomonadota; Betaproteobacteria
Description: bacterial SSU rRNA
Rfam family: Bacterial small subunit ribosomal RNA
Source: RNAcentral
CAGGGGAUCUUCGGACCUUGCGUUAAUGGAGCGGCCGAUAUCUGAUUAGCUAGUUGGUGGGGUAAAGGCCCACCAAGGCGACGAUCAGUAGCUGGUCUGAGAGGACGACCAGCCACACUGGAACUGAGACACGGUCCAGACUCCUACGGGAGGCAGCAGUGGGGAAUUUUGGACAAUGGGCGAAAGCCUGAUCCAGCCAUUCCGCGUGAGUGAAGAAGGCCUUCGGGUUGUAAAGCUCUUUCGCAAGGAAAGAAAACUUAGCUAAUAACACUAGCUGAGGAUGACGGUACCUUGAUAAGAAGCACCGGCUAACUACGUGCCAGCAGCCGCGGUAAUACGUAGGGUGCGAGCGUUAAUCGGAAUUACUGGGCGUAAAGCGUGCGCAGGCUGUUUUGUAAGUCAGAUGUGAAAUCCCUGGGCUCAACCUAGGAACUGCGUUUGAAACUACAAGGCUAGAGUGUAGCAGAGGGGGGUAGAAUUCCACGUGUAGCAGUGAAAUGCGUAGAGAUGUGGAGGAGUACCAAUGGCGAAGGCAGCCCCCUGGGUUAACACUGACGCUCAUGCACGAAAGCGUGGGGAGCAAACAGGAUUAGAUACCCUGGUAGUCCACGCCCUAAACGAUGUCUACUAGUUGUUGGGAGAGUAAAAUCUCUUAGUAACGCAGCUAACGCGUGAAGU